CCGUAGAUUGGUAGGAUCCGCUGAAACACGAACUGAAUAUAUAAAAAGGUACACAUACCGAGAUCCGUGCCCUCAACUUGUCGUUGAGAAGCGAAAUGGCGAAUUCGAUGAUCUUGGUCGCGCAGCUUGGAAUAUUAACGAAGGACCAGGCGCUGAGGUGACCCAUGGUCAAUCCGGAUUCGUCGUUAAUGUACGUGUAACCGCGGACCUGAUUCUCCUCGUCGUCCAUCAGGGCCUCCACUACGAGACUGUGCGCCCGGGCCAUCUGCGCUGACGUGUAUUUGUACGGAUCGAAGCGACCUUAAACCCAGAACGAGGAAUUGUAACAACGGAAGGCAAACGAAAACCGCCAUCACCUAUGAAAGUGUUCAUAGACUAUGUUAUUUCAUUAUUCAAGUGUUUAAACUACGGAAUGUAUAGAGCAAUUCGGUUUUUAAAUAAAAUAUGUAAGAAACUAA
Hylaeus volcanicus is the source of this 458-nucleotide long non-coding RNA. RefSeq lists it as uncharacterized. The transcript has 2 exons. NCBI's taxonomy places the organism in Eukaryota, Metazoa, Arthropoda, Insecta, Hymenoptera, Colletidae. The record is from RefSeq and is a predicted model, not a curated record.